GCCUGGGUAGCUCAGUUGGUAGAGCACGUCUUUGGUAAAGACGAGGUCGCCGGUUCAAUCCCGGCCUCAGGCU
This 73-nucleotide transfer RNA is filed under the name bacterium. RNAcentral describes it as "tRNA-Thr". It matches the Rfam family "tRNA". Rfam says of the family: Transfer RNA (tRNA) molecules are approximately 80 nucleotides in length. Their secondary structure includes four short double-helical elements and three loops (D, anti-codon, and T loops). Further hydrogen bonds mediate the characteristic L-shaped molecular structure. tRNAs have two regions of fundamental functional importance: the anti-codon, which is responsible for specific mRNA codon recognition, and the 3' end, to which the tRNAs corresponding amino acid is attached (by aminoacyl-tRNA synthetases). tRNAs cope with the degeneracy of the genetic code in two manners: having more than one tRNA (with a specific anti-codon) for a particular amino acid; and 'wobble' base-pairing, i.e. permitting non-standard base-pairing at the 3rd anti-codon position. The record is from RNAcentral.